RNAcentral lists this long non-coding RNA (758 nucleotides) under Androctonus crassicauda. Lineage: Eukaryota; Metazoa; Arthropoda; Arachnida; Scorpiones; Buthidae. The record is from RNAcentral.
CCAUAAGAAAUGCAAUUCGAGAAUGAAUUUAGAUCUCAUUCCCGAAUGAGAUGAGUUAUUAACAUUCUUAUGCAAAUACGUAAGAAUAAUAAUAAUUCAUAACUCAUUCUCGAAUUGCACCCUCAAAAAUCAAAUUAUCCCUGAUGGAGCGUGCGCCCUACCUUGGAAACCACUUAUCUAGCGGAUUAUAUAUGCCACUAUUCCUUCUUCGAAUUUAAGGGCAAAUUCUACCGUCAGCAAAAAAGGCGUCCCCAUUGUCAAGAUGGCGGGCUGCCUGGCAGAAUUAUUGAUUCGCCCUAGGGAGAUAAUAUCUUUUCUGGAAUUUAUCAACAACUAUAAAUUCUGUGAGCGUUGCGUUGAAGAGGUUCUCAUUGUCUGGAAGGAUCGUGACAGGUCAGGCGAUAUGAAAGGCGUAGGCCAAUGUGUAAAGUUCGAUCUAAUAAAUAAUACAAAGUGCACAUUUUGGAUUUUCGGAUGGCGGUAGAAAUUGGGGAUACGCUACUUCAGUGUAGGGGAAGGUGGGUCUGGUUGUAACAUAGGUAUAAUUGUAACAGAGUAAUUAUCUUUUUAAAAAAGACCGCUCAGAACUUCUAGACACUGUUACGAAAUGGCAUUAUACAAUAAUCAUACAUCAGCAAGACAGUAAUUGCGUACGUAGUGUAUCCACCGAAAUAGGAAUGACAAAAUUAUUUUCUAGAUAAGUUAGUCAUUCUCUCCUUUUGGAAUUAAUAUCUUAUAGAUCUCAAACUAUUAUCGAC